GACGAACGCUGGCGGCGUGCUUAACCCAUGCAAGUCGAACGGAAAGGCCCUGCUUUUGUGGGGUGCUCGAGUGGCGAACGGGUGAGUAACACGUGAGUAACCUGCCCUUGACUUUGGGAUAACUUCAGGAAACUGGGGCUAAUACCGGAUAGGAGCUCCUGCUGCAUGGUGGGGGUUGGACAGUUUCGGCGGUUGGGGAUGGACUCGCGGCUUAUCAGCUUGUUGGUGGGGUAGUGGCUUACCAAGGCUUUGACGGGUAGCCGGCCUGAGAGGGUGACCGGCAACAUUGUGACUGGGAUACGGCCCAGACUCCUACGGGAGGCAGCAGUGGGGAAUAUUGCACAAUGGGCGGAAGCCUGAUGCAUCAACUCCGCGUGCGGGAUGACGGCCUUCGGGGUGUAAACCGCUUUCGCCGGUGACGAAGCGUGAGUGACGGUAAUGGGUAAAGAAGCACCGGCUAACUACGU
Molecule: ribosomal RNA, 467 nt
Filed under: uncultured bacterium
Lineage: Bacteria
Description: partial 16S ribosomal RNA
Rfam family: Bacterial small subunit ribosomal RNA
Source: RNAcentral